AGAGUUUGAUCCUGGCUCAGGAUGAACGCUAGCGACAGGCUUAACACAUGCAAGUCGAGGGGCAGCGGGGUGUGGCAACACACUGUCGGCGACCGGCGCACGGGUGAGUAACGCGUAUGCAACUUGCCUAUCAGAGGGGGAUAACCCGGCGAAAGUCGGACUAAUACCGCAUAAAACAGGGGUCCCGCAUGGGGAUAUUUGUUAAAGAUUCAUCGCUGAUAGAUAGGCAUGCGUUCCAUUAGGCAGUUGGCGGGGUAACGGCCCACCAAACCGACGAUGGAUAGGGGUUCUGAGAGGAAGGUCCCCCACAUUGGUACUGAGACACGGACCAAACUCCUACGGGAGGCAGCAGUGAGGAAUAUUGGUCAAUGGCCGGGAGGCUGAACCAGCCAAGUCGCGUGGAGGACGAAGGUCCUAUGGAUUGUAAACUUCUUUUGUGCGGGAAUAAAGUCGGGGACGCGUCCCCGUUUGCAUGUACCGUACGAAUAAGCAUCGGCUAACUCCGUGCCAGCAGCCGCGGUAAUACGGAGGAUGCGAGCGUUAUCCGGAUUUAUUGGGUUUAAAGGGUGCGUAGGUCGCCGAUUAAGUCAGCGGUGAAAUCCAGUGGCUCAACCAUCGGACUGCCGUUGAAACUGGCCGGCUUGAGUAUGAUUGAGGCAGGCGGAAUGCGUGGUGUAGCGGUGAAAUGCAUAGAUAUCACGCAGAACCCCGAUUGCGAAGGCAGCUUGCCAAGCCAUGACUGACACUGAAGCACGAAAGCGUGGGUAUCAAACAGGAUUAGAUACCCCUGGUAGUCCACGCAGUAAACGAUGAUUACUAAGGAGUUUGCGAUACAAGUGUAAGCUCCACAGCCGAAAGCGUUAAGUAAUCCACCCUGGGGGAGUACGCCCGGCAACGGGUGAAACUCCAAAAGGAAUUUGACGGGGGGCCCGCACAAACCGGAGGAACAAAGGUGGGUUUAAAUCCAAUGAUAACGCGAGGGAACCUUUCCCCCGGGGUUUGAAACCAAGGCGGGAACGGGGGGGCGGGAAAACGCCCCUUUUCCACCCAAUGGGCCGCCCUGCGAGGUGCUGCAUGGUUGUCGUCAGCUCGUGCCGUGAGGUGUCGGCUUAAGUGCCAUAACGAGCGCAACCCCUGCCGCCAGUUACUAGCAGGUAAUGCUGAGGACUCUGGCGGGACUGCCAGCGUAAGCUGCGAGGAAGGCGGGGAUGACGUCAAAUCAGCACGGCCCUUACAUCCGGGGCGACACACGUGUUACAAUGGCGUGGACAAAGGGCGGCGACUUGGCGACAAGGAGCAAAUCCCCAAACCACGUCUCAGUUCGGAUCGGAGUCUGCAACCCGACUCCGUGAAGCUGGAUUCGCUAGUAAUCGCGCAUCAGCCAAGGCGCGGUGAAUACGUUCCCGGGCCUUGUACACACCGCCCUAA
RNAcentral lists this ribosomal RNA (1428 nucleotides) under uncultured bacterium. RNAcentral describes it as "bacterial SSU rRNA". It matches the Rfam family "Bacterial small subunit ribosomal RNA". The record is from RNAcentral.